RNAcentral lists this ribosomal RNA (462 nucleotides) under uncultured bacterium. RNAcentral's name for it is "partial 16S ribosomal RNA". It matches the Rfam family "Bacterial small subunit ribosomal RNA", at positions 28 to 506 of the family's 1533-position model. The record is from RNAcentral.
GACGAACGCUGGCGGCGUGCUUAACACAUGCAAGUCGAACGGAAAGGCCUUUUCGGAGGUACUCGAGUGGCGAACGGGUGAGUAACACGUGGGUGAUCUGCCCUGCACUCUGGGAUAAGCCUGGGAAACUGGGUCUAAUACCGGAUAGGACCGCACUUUAGUGUGUGUGGUGGAAAGUUUUUUCGGUGUAGGAUGAGCCCGCGGCCUAUCAGCUUGUUGGUGGGGUAAUGGCCUACCAAGGCGGCGACGGGUAGCCGGACUGAGAGGUUGGUCGGCCACAUUGGGACGGAGAUACGGCCCAGACUCCUCCGGGAGGCAGCGGGGGGGAAUAUUGCACAAUGGGCGGAAGCCUGAUGCAGCGCCCCCGGGUGGGGGAUGACGGCCUUCGGGUUGUAAACCCCUUUCGCCAGGGACGAAGGGUUUUGGGGCGGUCCCGGGGGAAGAAGCACCGGCUAACGCCGU